Molecule: ribosomal RNA, 507 nt
Rfam family: Bacterial small subunit ribosomal RNA
GAUGAACGCUGGCGGCGUGCCUAAUACAUGCAAGUCGAGCGCAACUUCUUAUACCGAACCUUCGGGUUCACUUUAAGAGUUGAGCGGCGGACGGGUGAGUAACACGUAGGCAACCUACCCUUAAGACUGGGAUAACUACGGGAAACCGUGGCUAAUACCGGAUAAUAUCUUUACUCAAAAGAGUAMMGRUUGAAAGAUGGAUUUUCUAUCACUUAAGGAUGGGCCUGCGGCGCAUUAGCUAGUUGGUGAGGUAGUAGCUCACCAAGGCGACGAUGCGUAGCCGACCUGAGAGGGUGAUCGGCCACACUGGGACUGAGACACGGCCCAGACUCCUACGGGAGGCAGCAGUAGGGAAUCUUCCGCAAUGGACGCAAGUCUGACGGAGCAACGCCGCGUGUGUGAUGAAGGAUUUCGGUUCGUAAAGCACUGUUGUUAAGGAAGAAUAGUAGUAAGAGUAACUGUUUACUAAUUGACGGUACUUAACCAGAAAGCCACGGCUAACUACGU